Molecule: ribosomal RNA, 253 nt
Filed under: uncultured bacterium
Lineage: Bacteria
Description: partial 16S ribosomal RNA
Rfam family: Bacterial small subunit ribosomal RNA
Source: RNAcentral
UACGUAGGUGGCAAGCGUUGUCCGGAUUUACUGGGCGUAAAGAGCGCGCAGGCGGUCGGAUAAGUCGAAUGUGAAAGCCCCCGGCUCAACUGGGGAGGGUCAUUCGAUACUGUUCGACUCGAAGGCAGGAGAGGGAAGUGGAAUUCCCGGUGUAGUGGUGAAAUUCGUAGAUAUUCGGAAGAACACCAGUGGCGAAGGCGACUUACUGGACACAUAGUGACGCUGAGGUGCGAAAGCGUGGGGAGCAAACAGG